Molecule: ribosomal RNA, 253 nt
Filed under: uncultured bacterium
Lineage: Bacteria
Description: partial 16S ribosomal RNA
Rfam family: Bacterial small subunit ribosomal RNA
Source: RNAcentral
UACGAAGGGUGCAAGCGUUACUCGGAAUUACUGGGCGUAAAGCGUGCGUAGGUGGUUCGUUAAGUCUGUCGUGAAAGCCCCGGGCUCAACCUGGGAAUGGCGAUGGAUACUGGCGAGCUAGAGUGCGGUAGAGGAGAGUGGAAUUCCCGGUGUAGCAGUGAAAUGCGUAGAGAUCGGGAGGAACAUCAGAGGUGAAGACGGGUUGCUGGGCUGACACUGACGCUGAGGCGCGAAAGCCAGGGGAGCAAACGGG